UACAAAAAGCACAAGAAACAACAAUACGCUCGGGCAUUAUUAUAUAUGAGCACCGAAUGAACCAGUCAGGCGGUGCCCAUUGUCGUGGCCGGAAAGCUUUGACUUACCGGCGCCGGAAUUACGAACCUCCGCAGAGUCCAUUUCUUCACUGGAAGUUUGACAACGAAAAAACAACCGGCGGAGUCGUCCAGGCCUCGGCUCGGAAGCUCGCCGCGGGGCUGUGGCAAUUACGCUUUAGCGAAAUCUCAUGGGGUCGGAAGAUCAAAUUCAAUUCUUGCCCUUCUGAUCCUUCUCCUCCUCAGCCUCAGAUUGAAUCGUCUUUGGCAACUACCAAAUGUGCAUCGGAGAAGGCAACAAAGUGGGAUCGUGGCUGCUCAGGAGAAUCUGAUGACAUCUAUCAGUUUUACAGCCAUAUGAAACUUCUCGAAGAUUGUCAAGUUACUACUAGUUCUAUGGCAUCGGCUUUGAAUGCAGAACUAGCAGAGGCUAGAUUAUGCAUUCGUGAGCUGCAAGCUAAGCGAAAGUCCUUUAAGAUGAAAGUCAAACACUUUUUGAGGAAGCUUGAAGAGGAAAGAAUCUCUUGGCAAACCAGAGCUCACUGGAACAAUCAUGCUAUUAAAGACCUGAAGGAAGAAUUAGGAAGGGAAAGGAAACAUCGUCAGCAGAUGGAAAAUGUUAACACCAAUCUGAUAAAUCAGUUAGCUGGUGUCAAAGUGUCUGUAGAGCAGUUCAUGAAAAAAUAUGAGGAAGAGAAGAAAAACAGAAAAUUCAUGGAAGAAGUUUCUGGUGAACUAGCUGCACAAAUUGGAGAAGACAAGGCCGAAGCCGAGGCAUUGAAGAGAGAAUCAAUUAGAAUUCUUGAAGAAGCGGAGGAAGAGAGGAAAAUGUUUCAUCUAGCAGCAGUUUGGCGUGAAGAGCGGGUCCAGAUGAAGCUGAUCGAUGCAAAACUAGCUCUUGAAGAUAAAUAUUGUCAGCUGAACAAGCUGAUAACAGAUGUCGAAACUUUCUUAAGGUCAAAGUUUGGAACCCUGGAUAUGGCGGAGUUGAGAAAAGCUGAGUUGAUCCUACAGGAAGUUAAGUCAUUGAAUGUUACUGACACUGGGGAAUUUUCUUACCUUCCUCCAAACUCAGAUGAAAUAUACUCUGAUUGCAAAGAUCUCCAACAAUGUGAAGGAAAUGAUAGGGAGAUUGAACCAUACGUUUGUCGCAGUCCAUCUAGCCAUAAUUCCACAGUCCAUCCCAUGAAUCCGGAGGAUAAUGGGUUCAACAAAACUUCUUUUCCAAUGCAGUUGAAUUGCUUUAGUGAUUAUGAUAGUUGUUAUGGAGAUGCGGGUUUGGAUAACAUGAGUCAUGCCGAGGAUCAUCAGGGUUCUUGUGAUUCAUUGGUAGCACGCAAUACCAACGUUAACAAAGUUGGCCAGGCCAAAAAUGUAUCGAGGAGAAGUGAACAUAACACCAAUGUUGGUCAAUAUUCUCCAGAUAGGGAAAUCAGUGAGGUGUGCUCACCAUCGGAGAAGCAAUCAAAGCAAGAGGCAUCUCCUACAUCUAAGAUAUCAUGUCCAAGCAAUGGUGAGUUUCAUAAGAUAGUUUUGGAUGAGGGUGAAAGGAGGCUUUCGAAUGGGAUUACUUCACGUCAGGGAACCAAGGCAUAUCGAGGUUUGUUUCAACAACGAGUUGAACAAUGGAUCCCAACAGACAUAGCGAAUCCACACAUAACUCGAGGAAUGAGAGGAUCCAUUGAAUGGCCGCGAACCAUCCAAACGAAUUGUUCAAAGGCCAAGCUUUUGGAAGCAAAAAUAGAAAGCCAGAAAUCUCAGUUGCGCCAUGUUCUUAAACAGAAGAUUAGGUGAAUUCGGUGUUCGGUGCUCGAAAUUUUGUUCAAGUUCCAUUCGAACUAUGAUGUGGCUGAUGCACUGCAUAUUCCUCCACUUUAAGACAUGACAGGAGUAGUCCAUUGGAUGAUUGAGUAUCCUGAUCCUGGUUUGCAGACAUGGUCCAUUGAGGUGUUAGACCCUUGGAAUGAUAGUUCGUACAAGAGGGCGUUGGCCGCGGUUGACGACAAUUCUGAUAGGGGCAAAUUAUUCCGGUAGGAAAAUCCUGAAUCGUACGAUUUGACAAGGCAGUUUGUAGAGGAACGCAAACCGUGAACUUUAAAUGCUUGGAAAUUGAGGCAGGCGCAUCCACAUAUUAUUCCAGCUAGAGUUCUCCAGCAUCAAACAUGUUUAUGCCCUCCUAUGUAUUCAGUCCGGUGGAGGUAAUUACCAUAUUCUAAUUUGAGCCUCCAUGCAGGUGAGUGUGGAGACGGAUGCAAGGAGAGACGUUCCUGGCUUUAGAGACAACAAAUACCAUGUCCACCGUGCUAUUCGUCUUGGAGCUUUUGUCAAGCUUAUUCAGCUUCGUCUCGAGGUUAUAGGAAUCACGGAUCCUGUCUUUGUGUAUUCCAAGAACACCGCUAAACCUCCCAAUGAGAUCUUGAUGUCUGCAAUUGACAAGGAUGAGGAAAAUAAGGAUGAAGAUGGAUUUCUUCACUUGAUAUACACUAAUGAAGAGGAAGGAGUACCAAUUCCAGCGAAGAAAGCUGCCACAAGGCACAAAAGUCCUUGCAGAUUCAAGAGGAGGAAGAAAAUCGGAAUGAUCCAGUUUUCAACUCCCAUUGGUCUGUUAGACUCCUGGAACCUGAUCAAUACAGGCAUAGCUGUUUUUUCAUCUAUGCGUUUGAUUUAUGCUCAGUGGUUGUUUGGAGGCGGACAAACCACCUAGACGUAGUUUAGAUGCUUGGAAAUUGAGGGAGAAGCAACCUGACCAUAUACCAGUAAGUGUUUCACUGCAUUAAAUUUGCGUAUUUCCUCCUAUAUUUGGUGGACGCAAUACCGUGCUCUAUUUUGAGCCUCCGUGCAGGUAAGCGUGGAGAAGGACGCAGGUAGUGACAUUCCUGACAUUGACAUGAAGAAGUUAGUUUCCAAUUCGAUUACGCUUGGGUAUCUUGAUUUGUAUUGCAAGAAUGGAAUAGGAUUUGACCCCCUUAUUUAGAUACAAUGUCCAUCGUGAUAUGCCGCUGAGAGAAUUUGUUGACUUUAGAAUAUCGGUUAAGGAUUGGGUAUGAAUCUCCAUGGAAAAAGCCUAUGUUCGUCUACUUCAAGAACACCGAGCCUCCCAUUGAUACUACCUUGAUGCCUGCAGUUGAUGAGAAAAACAGGGACGAAGACGGUUUUGUUCACAUCACCUACAGUGGAAAAGAGAAAGGAGGCUGGACCCACUGAAGAGCUCUGGCCGUUGCAGAUGCUUGUUGAAUGAUCAUUUAAACAUGUCCAACUAAAGACGAAGCACUUUUUUAGAGGUUGCCCAGAUGCUAUCUUCUAUAUCUAUCGGGGAGGACUGCAUUCCGGCUGGCCUUGUCCCAAAAUCAAUCUGUUUACGCAUCAAUUCUUCGAGCUGGGAUCGCAGCUUGUCGUCCCUCAGUUGUUUUUCUUGUCUCGAGAAUUUUUUUUCAGACUGUUCCCUUAAUUUGGUUUUACGUAGCUUUAUGCUUCUAGACUAAAAAUAUGUUAGUUGGUUAUAAAUCGAUUUCAAAUGUUGAAACAGUAGGGUUUAUAUUGAAGAUGGUGAGUAAUUACAUAAAGAUGAAAUACACUUUCUACUUUUUCUUUA
Malus domestica (apple) is the source of this 3648-nucleotide non-coding RNA. Lineage: Eukaryota; Viridiplantae; Streptophyta; Magnoliopsida; Rosales; Rosaceae. The record is from RefSeq and is a predicted model, not a curated record.